AGCGUAGGCGGACAUUUAAGUCAGGGGUGAAAUCCCGGGGCUCAACCUCGGAAUUGCCUUUGAUACUGGGUGUCUUGAGUAUGAGAGAGGUGUGUGGAACUCCGAGUGUAGAGGUGAAAUUCGUAGAUAUUCGGAAGAACACCAGUGGCGAAGGCGGCUUACUGGUCCAUUACUGACGCUGAGGUGCGAAAGCGUGGGGAGCAAACA
This 207-nucleotide ribosomal RNA is filed under the name uncultured bacterium. RNAcentral describes it as "partial 16S ribosomal RNA". It matches the Rfam family "Bacterial small subunit ribosomal RNA", at positions 568 to 774 of the family's 1533-position model. The record is from RNAcentral.